GGUUGUGCCUCAGUGGUAGAGUGCUUGCCUAGCAUGUGCAAGGCCCUGGGUUCAAUCCUCAGCACCA
Molecule: transfer RNA, 67 nt
Filed under: Marmota monax (woodchuck)
Lineage: Eukaryota; Metazoa; Chordata; Mammalia; Rodentia; Sciuridae
Description: tRNA.Ala
Source: RNAcentral